UGCAAACCUCGUCUUUCUUCCUCUUUUAGAUCUGCUGAAGAUGGUGAUAGUGAUUUCCAGUUAUAGUGGAUGCUUAACAAGUGGUGGUGGUUUCGAAAAUAUGUUUUUCAGAAAACAUUUUUAGAUCUAAGAUUUUUAGAGUAGGUGGAGUUUAUUGAUGGAGCCAACAACAGUCAGUAUCAUUGUCGCCAUCAUUUCUAACUUUGAUCAUUUCUUCCAUGAGCCUGCUCAGAAGUUACCUGCUGACGUUGCACCUCCACCGGAUGCCAACAAACGUGCAAAAGAAUUGGUGAGCUUCCACGUCUAACCUGACUUGAAUAUUUUACCACACUGACAAAGAGAGGUACUUUUCGAGGGUGCUCAAGAAAGUGGAGAAGAACAAUGGGAAGGUUUUGUAGAUGGAAGAUUUUCUGGAUUUUCUA
Molecule: long non-coding RNA, 422 nt
Organism: Papaver somniferum (opium poppy)
Lineage: Eukaryota; Viridiplantae; Streptophyta; Magnoliopsida; Ranunculales; Papaveraceae
Exons: 5
Source: RefSeq, a predicted model, not a curated record